Molecule: ribosomal RNA, 725 nt
Filed under: Bacillus cereus
Lineage: Bacteria; Bacillati; Bacillota; Bacilli; Caryophanales; Bacillaceae
Description: bacterial SSU rRNA
Rfam family: Bacterial small subunit ribosomal RNA
Source: RNAcentral
AACACGUGGGUAACCUGCCCAUAAGACAGGGAUAACUCCGGGAAACCGGGGCUAAUACCGGAUAACAUUUUGAACCGCAUGGUUCGAAAUUGAAAGGCGGCUUCGGCUGUCACUUAUGGAUGGACCCGCGUCGCAUUAGCUAGUUGGUGAGGUAACGGCUCACCAAGGCAACGAUGCGUAGCCGACCUGAGAGGGUGAUCGGCCACACUGGGACUGAGACACGGCCCAGACUCCUACGGGAGGCAGCAGUAGGGAAUCUUCCGCAAUGGACGAAAGUCUGACGGAGCAACGCCGCGUGAGUGAUGAAGGCUUUCGGGUCGUAAAACUCUGUUGUUAGGGAAGAACAAGUGCUAGUUGAAUAAGCUGGCACCUUGACGGUACCUAACCAGAAAGCCACGGCUAACUACGUGCCAGCAGCCGCGGUAAUACGUAGGUGGCAAGCGUUAUCCGGAAUUAUUGGGCGUAAAGCGCGCGCAGGUGGUUUCUUAAGUCUGAUGUGAAAGCCCACGGCUCAACCGUGGAGGGUCAUUGGAAACUGGGAGACUUGAGUGCAGAAGAGGAAAGUGGAAUUCCAUGUGUAGCGGUGAAAUGCGUAGAGAUAUGGAGGAACACCAGUGGCGAAGGCGACUUUCUGGUCUGUAACUGACACUGAGGCGCGAAAGCGUGCGGAGCAAACAGGAUUAGAUACCCUGGUAGUCCACGCCGUAAACGAUGAGUGGUAAGUG